UGGACUUCUGAGUGGGGUUUCCUAAAAGAGAA
RNAcentral lists this non-coding RNA (32 nucleotides) under Mus musculus (house mouse). The record is from RNAcentral. Lineage: Eukaryota; Metazoa; Chordata; Mammalia; Rodentia; Muridae.